UCUUCUGUCUCUCAAAAAUUAAAUAAAUGUUAAGAUUUUUUAAAGUAUAAAUAAUCGGAGCCCUACUCCCCAAAGAAUUGUAUUUUUUAUUGUUUUCAGACAUUUAAAUCACCAAUUCUACUUGUAAAAGCUUAUUCAAAUGUCUUUUUAAGAUACGCUUUCCUUCAAGGGUCAUGUAAAUGAUGUAAAUGUUAUCAACUCAUUGAUAUAUUAUCCACUCAUUGAUAACAACCAUCUGGAUUGCAUUCGCUGAUUUAUUUGGCCACCAUUAAUUUGAAAUGCUUAUUUAUUGGGUCUGACGUUACUAAAGGUUGAUCCUUGGGUAAAUGAUUGUAGCACAAACAAGGUCAGGGGCCAAACAAUGCUCAUUGCAGGAGCAGUACCUCAUUGGAGAAACUCACUGCCCCAGAUCACUUGCAGACAUACAUACAUGUCUCCUGGUACCCUCAUUGAGUAUGGGGCAGUGACCUAGGUAGGAUUUGGCAGGGCCUGACUUCUGACUUUGCAGGAGAGCUUCUGACCCUUGGGAUGUGGAUCUUUGAUACUAUAUGACUAGACUGAGAUGUGAUCAAGGACCAGGAUAUGAUAGUAAAAUGAAGAGCAGAAACUUAGUGCUGACCUUCUGCAGUCGGCUUAGUCCUGUGAUGAGGAUGGAAGGGAGACACAAGCCCCUGCUCUGGCAUUAUCAAGAAGUUGGAUUGCAAGACUUGUAAUUGCAACUGGAUCACAUGAGUUAGCAGCAUGGUCAGCCAUGUUGGAAUUCUUGGUUGGUGAAGCAUAGACGCCUCCAUUGGCAAGACUGAGGGUGGAGGGGAAGAGGGGUUGCGUUUCAGGCCUUAACUGUUACCAAGCUGUUACCAAGCAUUGAUUGGCUUGCACACUAACCAUUGUGGGUUUCUCACAGAGCACUGCAGAAGGAAAACUCCUUUCAGGAGAGGCCAGGCUUCAGGGGUCAGUCUUGGACAAAUUAACCCUUCUCUCUCAAUUAUUAGCUUACCAGUUCCUAAAUUUCCUCUCUUAAAAAAUGGCACCCUUUUCUAUAAUUGUUGGAAGGAGUAAGUGAGGUGAUACAUUUAACACCAUUGGCACAGUUCUUGGCAGACAAUAAGAACUCGUAUUUUAUUAUCAUUUUUCUGUGAACGUUUAUACAACAUUAGUGACAACUUGCUUAGAGUAAGAUUUUCUUCAAGCACCAACUAGACUAUAGUGAUCUGCUCCUUUCUAUCUCUGGAGGACCAAUUUUCUGAGUAGUUUGUUUAGGUUCUUAUUACUGUGUUCUCUUUCUCUAUUGGUUUCUUGUAUAUGUUCUGGCUUCUUUUUUUAAUUUUUUAUUUUUAAUUUUUUAAUUUUUUUUUCUGGCUUCUUAACAAGAUUGAAAAUUCAUAUCUCAUAUUUCUGGUGUGCCCCAUUGCCCUGGCUCCAAUUCUUGGUCUAGACCAAAGAGCAAAGAAACUCAACAAAUAUGGAUUAAUUAUUAAGAUAGUCAUAAGUACUUUAAAUAGAUUCCUUGAAGCAAAGCCAGUGAGAAUUCUACUAUACCAUUUUGGUAUUUCUCAUUUUGGUUUUAAAAUAUGGUUUAUAAUUCAUUUGGGUUUUAGCUCAUAUAGUUACACCUGAUUUGUAACAUUUCCACUAAUAUCUUUCUCAUUAUAAAUAGAGUAUUAUAUUUAAUGUUUUUCCACGGAUGUACUUAACUCACCAAACUUAACAGAUUCAUAUCAACAGUCUCCCCUGCCUUAUGCCUUCCUCAAGGCAUCUAGAAACUGAAAUAUGCUGGGUUCAGCACUUUCCCUUUACCUGUAUGGAGGGAUGUUGUCAAUUCACACCAGUGACUCCUCCACAGUCUUACUACCCAGGAUGCCAUUCUUCUCUUCCCAGCCCUCAAUCCAGGAGGUAUCCACACUUUCUGAGUAUGGCUUUUCUAGGCCUCUAUACCCUAACCUACCCGUGCAGAUAUGCAACGUCCAGCCCUUCAUUCAGCUAACCGGUCUAUAAGCUGAUCUCUCCUAGCAUGUAGUCUAGAGGAGCUGAUUUACCUUUUGAAAAUUUGCCAAAUACUUUUCGUAUGCAUAGCUGCUCAUGUCCUCUGUCUUCUAAAUAAGAGUAGUAAUUCUGUAAGAGAUCUACUUCCAGAAUCUCGAUUCUGCCACAUUAGCUUAAUGGCCGAAUCAGAAAAUUUACAAAUUACCUAAUUUUCCUGCAGCUCAAAGUCUUUGUCACUAAAUUUUGUAUUAGUACUUACCUCACUUCUCCUAUCUGGAAAUAAAGUGACAGCAUGAAACAUGCAUAGGGAUCUCUUUGCCCAGGUAUUUCAAAAUUCAUACUUACAUGUUCUCCCUCAGACCUCUACCCACUAAAAUUGUUCAUAUCUUACCCAGUGCAAAAUAUACUACUGUGCUUGGAGAGAACAUGCUCUUCCUUUAAAGCUUUUAUCUUACUCCAGGCAUUAUCCUAUUCCUGGCUAAUUAUUUUCGUUUGUAUAAAAUCCUUAUAUGUUCUAAUGUUUCUCUAUUUACUCUGCUGACCCUCUGUUGGUUAGGGUUGGAGAAACAUUUAGCAAACAAAAUUUAAAUGAAAAGAAAGAUGGUGUGUAUGUUGUAUAUGGGGGAUGUGGUUUGCAGGAAGAGAAAGCCAACACAAUAUGGACAUCAUGGAAGAUAGAGAAUGUAUACAUACGUAUUUGUCAGCAGGAGCUGUAGAUACAGGUGGAAGUAGACAGUGAUAGGAAGAAAGAUGUACUUAAGGUGACCAACAGACCCAGUUGGCCUGAGAUUGAGGGGUUUCUUGGGCCAGGAGACACUCAGUGUCAAGUGUGAUGAGUUGGUUCCCUUAGGUGCAAUGGAGAUACAGUGAGACAAAUUCAGUAACAAGAAACUGAAUCAUAAGGCAAUGAGCUGGUUGUUUUGGAGGGUGGAUUCAGAAAUUCAAACCACUGGUUGUUGAUACUUAAGGGAAAAAUUAUGAUAAAUCCUGUAAGGAUGGAAGCUAGAAUCAUUUUCCAUAAAAAGGAACUCAGAUGAAAGGGAGUCUCUCCUGACUGAUUUGUGGUCAAAGAAUUAUUCUCAUCUGAACAUGAGGAGCAGCCUCGUGCUACAGUGCUAGGAUGAUCAGGUUCAAGCCAGGUACGUGAGGACCCAAGGGGUUAAUCCUCAAUCCUUUGUGAGGCAGCCCCAAGGACAACUGCAAAUGGGUCGACAUGUUUGAACAGGCCACGGGUGCUAUUCCUCCGGACUUCUGGUGCUCUUGAUGAGAAGCAGCUAAAUUAGCAUGUCUCCUUGGCCCCAUCCUUGAUUUUGAUUUCUUCAUUUACCUUGGGUAUUAUCACUAGAUCAGACCUUGCUAUAGUCAUUAACUUCUUAAUAUAAAACUGUUUUGGAUAAAAUAGGAAAUUCCUCCAGAGCAGAAUUUUGAUCUUGCAAUCCUAAGACACAGAGAGAGAGUGGUAUCUUACGAAUAUGAAGUCUGGUUUUAACAAUCUUAAAUCCUUUGGAGUGGGAUAAGUUUCAGCUCUGUUUAUUUUUUCCAUAAAUGUUAUGGUAAUUUUUAAAAGGAUUUUCAAAGUAUGUGGUGAUAUCAUCAAGUGAACAAUCUAGAAAGCCUAACAUUAAAACCCAUUGAAUGAUCUUGAAUUAUCAUUAGUGUUGGAGGCAGGCCUGCAAUCUGUUUGAAAUGCUCUCAUUUGCAGCUAUUUCCAAUACACAUUUUAUUUUUUUUUCAAUAUUAAAAAGCUAGUGGUACAGGGGAAAUCCAGAUUCUUUUCUCUAAAUCACUGGCCUCAUGACAGGCUAUAUUAGACAUGCCCUGUGGUGAGGGGAUUAAAAUAUUACUAGCUUUGUUUUGAAACUGUGACACCAAGUGUGUUUUUGGAAUCUUUCUGAGGUGGUUUGGGCCCUUGACUUGCCUGGUAACCACAGCUUCUGGACUAAUCCAACUCACAGUUUGGGAAUUUCCAAAGUGACUUAACAGGGGCCUUGGUUUAUAUAUAUUAAUGCUGUCUGUUCCACUUCACAAGUGAGCAGACCCUUCCUUUAAUCAGCAGGUGGGGGAACUUUUUACACUUUGCCUCCAGACAGCAAAUUUGGAGGGAAUCUUUUAGACCAGAACUUCUCCAGUGCUAAUGUGCAUACCAAUCACAGAAAUCUUCCGGAAAACUUGUGGAAUAAUUAAGUCUGGGGUGAGGCAUUUCCAUCCAGGUGAUGCCGAUGCUACUAAUCUACAAACCAUACUCCACACAGCAAGAUCUUAGAAAUCAAGUGUGCGUGGGGUAGGGGAGUGUACCAUGUGCUUUCAGGACAGUCAGAAUUUAUGAGUCUUGGUUGUCCUUGGGGGUCAGUGCAACAGUGUCAGAGUAAACAUCUUCAGCUAUUAUAAGCUCACCUGAAUUUAUGUAUUAUGAUAACCCCUCUGGAGAUAAUUUUCUUUGUGACACUUACAGUUCUCUGUCCAAGUUGGCCUGUAUCUCUUCUAGGAGGUGUUGCACACUUGAUUUAUUCAGUUAUGUCUGCUGUCCUUGCUUACCAGGACACGGAGAAUUGAUGAUUCUUGCCAAGGAGUGACACUUGGGCUUUCUACUAUCCUACCUAAAGAUGAAGGGCAGGCAGAAAACAUAAUGCUUCCUCAGGUUAAAGGAAACUGAUAACUCUUAUUCAAGGAAACUCUAAUUCAAAAGCAAUGAACACUCAGAUAAAUAUAGUUAUCACUGUGAAGAGAAAGUAAGAUAAAAAUUAAAAAUUAAAAAUGUGGGAAGAGUAUAUUCAAAGACAAAGCUGCGGAGUUGAAGACAGUGGUUCUGUUUCCUUUUUAUUUUACCUGGCCUUAUAAAAUAGAAGGCCACAGAGAAUUACUACCCUUGACAAUAGGCACAGAGUCUUAGGUAGGGCCAAAGAAUUGAGUUGUAACAUUGUUGGCUCAGAAGCAGAGGACUUCAGUUGUAAAGUACUAGAAUUUACACAUAUUAAUCUCACUGUAUACUGUGUGGAGAGGGUGUGUUUCUGAAGAGCUGAGUACAGACUGAACUUUGUCCAGUUUCUUUAAAACACAUGAUCAUUUUAGAAAUUAUUUCUAUUUUUUCAGGAAUUUAGUUCACAGUUAUUGUCAACAACUGAGACCUGUCAAAUACUACUAAAUCUAAAGGAAUUCUUGAGUGUGAGCCUUCACCCUUUCCUAAUCCACUGCGGAGCCCUGGGAUAAGCCGUUUGAACACUCUGAUCAUCAUUUUGUUUUACAUUCUGGAGUUUUUGCUGCGAGUGGCCAAACCUGGUCUGUGUGGGAACCCCGGAGCCCCAGUUACAUUACAGACUUCCAAGUAUACAAGUUUAGCUCUUAUAGAUUCUCCAAAUAUUAGUCUCACCUUUUUUGGAAACAGAAACAUGAUACAUACAAAAAGGAAGAUGAUGACAUCUGAAUGAACCAACCUGAAUGAAAGAGGAUGGAAAGGCAUGAUUAGUAUUUGAAAGGAAAAAGACAUGGUGAACAUUAUUCCACAAUGUGCUUCUGAAUCCAAAAUAUUAUGUCUAUGGGGGAGAAAUUGAUGGUGGUAAAGGAUAUUCUCAUGUAAGCAUUUUAAUUAUUUCACACCAACUCAAUAUUACUAACCUCAACAGUCUGUAUUUUCCUAACAAUUCUAUCUUAAAAAGUCAGUGUUUCAGUAAGAACAUGGGACGGAAUACUCCCAAAGUGUAGAUGUUUCUGAAAUAAUAUUUAUAAAAUACUCCUCUCAUUGUUAUGUGGCCAUUAGUUAACAUAUCUUGAUAGGACCACCAACUUAAUGGCUUAUUCCCAUAGGAACGUUUGACUUAAAAAAUUUUUUUUGUUCUUUUUUCUUUAACUUGUCUUAAACAUUUGACUUCAUAUUACUCUAUUGCAAGUUUAUUACCUAAAGAAAACUUAAAAUAUCUAUUAUCUGAUCAUAUCAUUUAACUAAAUUAAAGUGUAAAAAGUUACAUAAAAAUUGCCCAAGAAGAUACAAAAUUCUCAUUUACAAACAUCAUGUAACGGGAUGAUAUUUUAAAUUUGUGAGUAGAAGACUUUUAUUUAUGUCUGAAAACUAGGACAGGAAAUGAUAUAAAUUGAUAGUUAUGUAAUCUCAGAGCCCACACCAACUAAGUUUUUUGGUUAACGUUGCCUUUGUGGUUGAAGUGGCAGAGAAACCCUUCACGUUUCUGACAGAAAAAUAAUGCUUUUUUUCCUCUCUAGUCUUCAGAAAUUAUUUUGCCAUGAUUUGUAGAAGAAUAAACCUCCAUUAUCAUCACUGGAGUGUUUUUCUAUUUUAAGGCUCAUCUUAAAAUGUUUUUUUUUCUCCCCAAGGGAGAAAAGAGGAGGGAAAAUAUUAGUCUCUAAAUUUUUUUUUA
Long non-coding RNA from Felis catus (domestic cat), 6350 nucleotides. RefSeq lists it as uncharacterized. NCBI's taxonomy places the organism in Eukaryota, Metazoa, Chordata, Mammalia, Carnivora, Felidae. The transcript has 4 exons. The record is from RefSeq and is a predicted model, not a curated record.